UAGUUAAUGAACUUGAAUAAGUGUAUGUUUUGAAAACAUAAUAUAGAAAUAGAGAUUUCUAUUAACU
RNAcentral lists this transfer RNA (67 nucleotides) under Coleoptera sp. ACP-2013. Its description in RNAcentral is "tRNA-Ser". The record is from RNAcentral. Lineage: Eukaryota; Metazoa; Arthropoda; Insecta; Coleoptera.